This 492-nucleotide ribosomal RNA is filed under the name uncultured bacterium. RNAcentral describes it as "partial 16S ribosomal RNA". It matches the Rfam family "Bacterial small subunit ribosomal RNA", at positions 29 to 507 of the family's 1533-position model. The record is from RNAcentral.
AGUGAACGCUGGCGGUAGGCCUAACACAUGCAAGUCGAACGGCAGCACAGUAAGAGCUUGCUCUUACGGGUGGCGAGUGGCGGACGGGUGAGGAAUACAUCGGAAUCUACUUUUUCGUGGGGGAUAACGUAGGGAAACUUACGCUAAUACCGCAUACGACCUACGGGUGAAAGCAGGGGAUCUUCGGACCUUGCGCGAUUGAAUGAGCCGAUGUCGGAUUAGCUAGUUGGCGGGGUAAAGGCCCACCAAGGCGACGAUCCGUAGCUGGUCUGAGAGGAUGAGCAGCCAUACUGGAACUGAGACACGGUCCAGACUCCGACGGGAAGCAGCAGUGGGGAAUAUUGGACAAUGGGCGCAAGCCUGAUCCAGCCAUACCGCGUGGGUGAAGAAGGCCUUCGGGUUGUAAAGCACUUUUGUUGGGAAAGAAAAGCAGCAGGUUAAUACCCCGCUGUUCUGACGGUACCCAAAGAAUAAGCACCGGCUAACUUCGUG